UUGACCUCAAAUCAGGUAGGACUACCCGCUGAACUUAAGCAUAUCAAUAAGCGGAGGAAAAGAAACUAACAAGGAUUCCCCUAGUAACUGCGAGUGAAGCGGGAAAAGCUCAAAUUUGAAAUCUGGCAGUUCUUUUGACUGUCCGAGUUGUAAUCUAGAGAAGUGUUACCUGUGCUGGACCAUGUACAAGUCUUCUGGAAUGGGGCAUCAUAGAGGGUGAGAAUCCCGUCUUUGACAUGGACUACCAGUGCACUGUGGUGCGCUCUCAAAGAGUCGAGUUGUUUGGGAAUGCAGCUCAAAU
Molecule: ribosomal RNA, 301 nt
Filed under: Inocybe lacera var. lacera
Lineage: Eukaryota; Fungi; Basidiomycota; Agaricomycetes; Agaricales; Inocybaceae
Description: eukaryotic LSU rRNA
Rfam family: Eukaryotic large subunit ribosomal RNA
Source: RNAcentral